Scylla paramamosain (green mud crab) is the source of this 898-nucleotide long non-coding RNA. RefSeq lists it as uncharacterized. The record is from RefSeq and is a predicted model, not a curated record. The transcript is spliced from 4 exons. NCBI's taxonomy places the organism in Eukaryota, Metazoa, Arthropoda, Malacostraca, Decapoda, Portunidae.
GUAAAGGGUUAAGACUUGACCCCUGUACCCGCAAAGCAAACCUAGCCUUUAAUUUUCAGGGAGAGUGAUCUAUACUAUCCCUAUUACUACUACUAUUAUGACUAUUUCCAGGUUAAGAGUGACUACCUGGAGGAUGAAAGCAGGGCGGCAGAAGGCAUGGAUUUCGACACAGCCAUCCAGCUCACUUGCAUCGAAAUCAAGCGAGUCUUUAAGCGGAUGAACGGAUGCGCGAUGGACAAGAAGUCAAAUCUUGAGCAGCCGGAGAAGGAAGUCGGUCUACAUGAAUUCCUACCGGCCUACGUCAUCAACACCAUCAAACAGAAAACGUUACGUAAGGCUUUGCAGGGAAACUUUAAGAAAUUCUCGGCGUUCUUCGAUUACGAAUCUCACUUCAAGUGCCUCGAGAUUUUGGGAAAAGUUGGAAAGUUUGACAUCGAAAACUUCCGCUGUGCACUCGGCUGUGGUUGGUCUAUUCCUGUCACUCUGCUUGUCGGCCCAAGUGUUGGUAUUUCCUACUGGACAGAUUCUGCCUCUGCCUUGCGUUGAAAUCGCCCAUGACGACAGUGGUGCCGGCAUCCACAGUGUGCUGCGUCAGUACUCCGCACUGAGCAUCAUGACAAUAAGGGGAGGCAUCUGGAGGUAUAUAUACGCCUCCUAACUUCAGUUCUGGAAUGCAUCACAAAACCACCGUGGCAUAUCUGGUCCUCAGCAUCCACGUCAACUUGCUUCACACUGUGCAUCAGUGCAUCCUGGCCAAGCAUCACCACUCCUCUAUUGCGUCCACUUCUUGACACAUUUCGGCACACACUAAAUCCCGGUACUUGUACGUUGUAAUAUUUUGUGGCUUCAAGAAUCCAGACGAUGUCAAAGUCCAGAAUAAACUUCAGUAUACUUGGCU